GCUGAAUCUAAUACUAAUUAAUACAAAUAGUGUGAAUAAAACAAAGACAUUUUCAAAUAAACAGCAACAUGGAGUUUACUUCUAAAAGACCAUCACAGAAGGAACUACUAAAGGAUGCACUUCAGGAAAAAGGAAAUUGAACUGAGAAGGAAGGCAUGAGAUACAAAACAGACUUUUGAGCAAAUAAAUUGGUGUAUAUGCAGAUGGAUGUGGGAAGUCAAUUCAAAAUGUGGGAACUUUAGCAAGUCACUUAACCAUGAAGCUUGAAGAGCUUUGAAUCAGGCCAAGAUCUUCACUUUGAGAACCUGGUGAAUUUCCACACAAGGAUGAGGAGCCCGCCUGUGACUGCAGCCACCCGGAGUUUCUCACCCUCAAGGUAUUCUGCACUUAGCUUUCAGAAAUUUGCCAAAAUAAUCAUUUAAGUGUGCCUACCAGAUUAUGGAUUUCAGUGACUUUUGUUCCAGGUAAGCAAAUUUCAAGGGUUAUGUCACUCUGGAUGUGACUCUCUCUCUAGAUUUUG
This 520-nucleotide long non-coding RNA is filed under the name Equus caballus (horse). Its description in RNAcentral is "lncRNA (ENSECAG00000054588.1)". Lineage: Eukaryota; Metazoa; Chordata; Mammalia; Perissodactyla; Equidae. The record is from RNAcentral.